RNAcentral lists this ribosomal RNA (453 nucleotides) under uncultured bacterium. RNAcentral's name for it is "bacterial SSU rRNA". It matches the Rfam family "Bacterial small subunit ribosomal RNA", at positions 8 to 507 of the family's 1533-position model. The record is from RNAcentral.
AGAGUUUGAUCAUGGCUCAGAACGAACGCUGGCGGCAUGCCUAACACAUGCAAGUCGAACGAGACCUUCGGGUCUAGUGGCGCACGGGUGCGUAACGCGUGGGAAUCUGCCCUUGGGUUCGGAAUAACAGUUAGAAAUGACUGCUAAUACCGGAUAAUGUCUUCGGACCAAAGAUUUAUCGCCCAGGGAUGAGCCCGCGUAGGAUUAGCUAGUUGGUGAGGUAAAGGCUCACCAAGGCGACGAUCCUUAGCUGGUCUGAGAGGAUGAUCAGCCACACUGGGACUGAGACACGGCCCAGACUCCUACGGGAGGCAGCAGUGGGGAAUAUUGGACAAUGGGCGAAAGCCUGAUCCAGCAAUGCCGCGUGAGUGAUGAAGGCCUUAGGGUUGUAAAGCUCUUUUACCCGGGAUGAUAAUGACAGUACCCGCAGAAUAAGCCCCGGCUAACUUCGUG